RNAcentral lists this transfer RNA (72 nucleotides) under Linderina macrospora. Its description in RNAcentral is "tRNA-Cys". It matches the Rfam family "tRNA". From Rfam's summary of the family: Transfer RNA (tRNA) molecules are approximately 80 nucleotides in length. Their secondary structure includes four short double-helical elements and three loops (D, anti-codon, and T loops). Lineage: Eukaryota; Fungi; Kickxellomycota; Kickxellomycetes; Kickxellales; Kickxellaceae. The record is from RNAcentral.
GGGGCUUUAGCUCAGCGGUAGAGCAAUUGGCUGCAGUCCAAUAGGUCACUAGUUCAAAUCUGGUAGGUCCCU